AGAACGAACGCUGGCGGCAGGCUUAACACAUGCAAGUCGAGCGCACCGCAAGGUGAGCGGCAGACGGGUGAGUAACGCGUGGGAAUCUACCCAACCCUACGGAAUAACACAGGGAAACUUGUGCUAAAUACCGUAUACGCCCUACGGGGGAAAGAUUUAUCGGGGUUGGAUGAGCCCGCGUUGGAUUAGCUAGUUGGUGGGGUAAUGGCCUACCAAGGCGACGAUCCAUAGCUGGUCUGAGAGGAUGAUCAGCCACACUGGGACUGAGACACGGCCCAGACUCCUACGGGAGGCAGCAGUGGGGAAUAUUGGACAAUGGGCGAAAGCCUGAUCCAGCCAUGCCGCGUGAGUGAUGAAGGCCUUAGGGUUGUAAAGCUCUUUCAGUGGGGAAGAUAAUGACGGUACCCACAGAAGAAGCCCGGCUAACUCGCGCCAGCAGCCGC
RNAcentral lists this ribosomal RNA (443 nucleotides) under uncultured bacterium. Its description in RNAcentral is "SSU rRNA". It matches the Rfam family "Bacterial small subunit ribosomal RNA", at positions 26 to 518 of the family's 1533-position model. The record is from RNAcentral.